UACGUAGGGCGCAAGCGUUGUCCGGAAUGAUUGGGCGUAAAGAGCUCGUAGGCGGCUUGUCACGUCGGGUGUGAAAGCCCGGGGCUUAACCCCGGGUCUGCAUUCGAUACGGGCAGGCUAGAGUGUGGUAGGGGAGAUCGGAAUUCCUGGUGUAGCGGUGAAAUGCGCAGAUAUCAGGAGGAACACCGGUGGCGAAGGCGGAUCUCUGGGCCAUUACUGACGCUGAGGAGCGAAAGCGUGGGGAGCGAACAGG
This 253-nucleotide ribosomal RNA is filed under the name uncultured bacterium. RNAcentral's name for it is "partial 16S ribosomal RNA". It matches the Rfam family "Bacterial small subunit ribosomal RNA", at positions 524 to 776 of the family's 1533-position model. The record is from RNAcentral.